Molecule: ribosomal RNA, 354 nt
Filed under: Placobdella parasitica
Lineage: Eukaryota; Metazoa; Annelida; Clitellata; Rhynchobdellida; Glossiphoniidae
Description: partial small subunit ribosomal RNA
Rfam family: Bacterial small subunit ribosomal RNA
Source: RNAcentral
AAGGAGGUGGAAAAUACGAACAACAGUUUAAACACCAAAGAAUUUGGCGGUGUCUUACUAUAUUAGGGGAACCUGUCCCUUAAAUCGAUAAUCCACGAAAGUCUUACCUAAUUUUGAAACUCAGUUAGUGUACUGCCGUCUCAAGUAUACCUUUAUGAGAGUAUACAAUUAAUUACUCAAUAAAACGUCAGGUCAAAGUGCAGCUUAUAGUUAGGAGGAGAUGGGUUACAACCUAAAUAAAGAAUAUGGAUAAGGAUAAUAAACUAUCCUUUGAAGGUGGACUUAACAGUAAUUAUUAAUAUUAUAAUGAAAAUUAUAUAAGACAAGUACACAUCGCCCGUCGCUCUUAUUACA